GGUUCCCCGGAGCCCCCGUCUCGAGCCUGGCGCGCGCUGUGAUUCUCGCCCUGGCGGCUAGGGCCUGUGCCGCGAGGCAGGGCAGGGUCAUGCGUCCCAGAGGAACCAGGACUAACCCAAGGCCCGGGACGUUUCGGGCAUUAGGGUGGGCGACCCGCACGGGCGUGUGGAACGCCCUGCGUCGCUAGGGAGGACGGAGCGGCGUCCCUGGUUACGGGGUCAGGCAAAGGGCAAAGGGCAGCGUCCGGGUGGAGCGAGAGCGAGGAUUAGUAAUGGCGGCGUCUGGGGAGCCCGGGAGGCCCUGGCAGGAGAAGGAGGCAGCAGCGGUAGUGGUGGUGGGUUCCUGCAUGACCGACCUGGUCAGUCUUACUUCUCGCUUGCCAAAAACUGGAGAAACCAUUCAUGGACAUAAGUUUUUUAUUGGCUUUGGAGGAAAAGGUGCCAACCAGUGUGUCCAAGCUGCCCGGCUUGGAGCAAAGGCGGCCAUAGUCUGCAAGGUUGGCAAUGAUUCUUUUGGCAAUGAUUACAUAGAAAACUUAAGACAAAAUCAUAUUUCUACAGAGUUUACAUAUCAGACCAGAGAUGCAGCUACAGGAACAGCCUCCAUAAUCGUCAAUAAUGAAGGCCAGAAUAUCAUCGUCAUAGUGGCUGGAGCAAAUCUGCUUUUGAAUACUGAAGACUUGAAGGAGGCAGCCAGUGUCAUUCGCGGAGCCAAAGUGAUGAUCUGCCAGCUAGAAAUAAGCCCAGCAGCUUCUCUGGAAGCUCUGACAAUGGCCCGCAGGAGUGGAGUGAAAACCUUGUUCAACCCAGCUCCGGCCAUGGCUGACCUGGACCCCCAGUUCUAUACCCUCUCCAGUGUUUUCUGCUGCAACGAGAGCGAGGCUGAGAUUUUAACAGGACACACUGUGAGCGACCCAACCACGGCUGGGAAGGCUGCGUUGGUUCUCCUAGAACGGGGCUGCCACAUUGUGGUCAUCACCUUAGGGGCUUCAGGAUGUGUGACACUGUCCCAGGCCGAGCCUGUUCCAAAGCACAUUCCCACAGAAGCUGUCAAGGCUGUGGACACCACGUGUUUUCUGUAACCUGAGAGGGCCAGUUAAAGCAUCCUUUCUCUUCAACGCAGUGAAGCCCCUUCCAGGAGUCUAUGUCACAGGGGAUUACUUUGUUGUUUGGGGCAUAGCCAGGAGCAGCUGAGAGGCAGCCACAUGGGCAGCACACAGAGCAUCGCCAUCAUCCCAGAGGAGACCUUGCCAGCUGGCCUCACAAACAACCUCUCAAGCACGGUAAAGUCUCUGUGUAAGCAGACUUAAGUCAACCUAUAACACCUUUAGAAAUGAUGUCCUGUGCCACAGGAGAAAGGAGGUGCCUUCCUAUUGGAGGCCUCUGGGUCCAGUCUAGACAUUUCAGUGUGCAUUUUGAUAGGAUUUUUCUUUCUUAAUCUUCUUGAAGUAGUAGUUUUCCUCAAAAAUACAAUUUUAUAUAGGUCCCUUUGGAAAUAUCUGUCCAUCAUUCAAAUGCAUUGCACAUCAUCAAAGAAAUUGCUCACAUUCAGAUUCCCUUCUGAAUGAAUGCUUGUUAGCCAGUCCUCUUCAACCACAUUCCUCCCAGCAGGGCAUUGAGUAAGCCCAGCUCUGUUUUUGUAACAGUUCUUGGAUUUGGUUACUGGGUAGCCAGAAAGAGUUGUAAAGCAGACCAUGCAAGGCUAUGGAGAUGUCUCAGUCAAUAAAGUGUUUGUUGUAUAAGCUGCAACCAAAAUAUCCAAGUUUGGAAUGCAAGUAUCCCAUAAAAAGCUGAGCAUGAUGGAAUACACCUAGAACCCUAGUCUUUUAUCGUCCAUGCCUCCUCUCCUUUUUAAAAUGCUCCUAAAGCGGGGCGUGGUGGCGCACACCUGUGGAUCUCUGUCAAUUCAAGCCCAGCCUAGUAUACAUGUCAAGUUCCAAGACAGCCUGAGCUACAUAGUGAGACCCUGUCUCAAAAAGGGAAAGAAACAAAAGGUCAUGAGUGAAAAGACUCUUGAGAGUAGAAGACCAUGAGACCGUGAGGAGUGCCGAAUGGUUCCACAUGAUCAUGCCUCUCUCCAGUGCAGUCAUACUUGGAGGCAGAGCGUGUUGGAGACAAUUGAGGUCCCAGCCUGAGCUCCUGCUCCAGGAGUCUGAGUGUCCUCAGAAGCAGCCGCCUCACCAGAGAGCUCCCUCAGCAAGCUCCCAAAGAAAGAGCCCUGUGAGCACCAGCAGGUAGGAGCUCCCGGCAGGCCAAGGGGAGGGUCUCAGAAUAAAGACAUCUGCUGGGACAUCUUGAUCUCAGAGCCCCUAGCCUUGAGGACUAUGAGAAAGAAGUUUCUAUUGUUUAAGCCACUAUCUGUGGUUUGUGUUGGUAGACACACAAUACACAUUACACACAAUACACACAAUACACAUUAAUACACACAAGCAAGUGAAAAUGCUCAGAAGUGACAUUAAAAAAAAAAAAAAAAAACUCAGAAAAAACAGGUGUCCAUGAGGAGACAAUGAUGAGCGGCAAAGGAGGAACCAGAUCACCUUUCCCUGAGAGGUGAGGGCGUCUGCAGGAGCACAGCUGUUGACAGUGCAGUGGCCGGGGGGGCAGAUGAUGGCUCGAAUCCUGCUGGCAAGGCUGCUUUAGUAAAUAAAUUCUACCUUUUGAUUUGGGGACAGUCCACCUCUCUGUGCCUUGACAUUUCAGCACUGACCCUUGAGUCACACGUCAGAAUACAGACUUCUACAACCCCUCUUGUCUCCAGAUCUUGAAAAGGCCUUGCAUACUUGUACAGUAUACUGCGGCCUUGAUGAAAGGCAAUAGCCCACCAUCGACCCUGAGUACCAUCCAGCUGAGUCCCAAGGAGCAAGCCCUCAGAAAGAGAGCACUGGUUAAUCAGUCCAUCACUCCCCGUCUGUCUGACAGUGUAUGCAGAUCAGCACUUUCCAGAUAGCAAAACCUGGAGCUUGCAUUGUGCACUGGCCCGGAGAACCUUUGCCACAUAGCUGCUUCCUCUACAGGCAAGGGCUGGACUGUGUGAGAAGAGUGGUGGGAGUGGGCCAUUCCAGAUCAUACUGCUUCUGGCAGGGUUCACAUCCAUCCAUCCUUGUCCCUGAGUGACCAUUCCUGGAGGAGACAUGCAUUCUCUUACAGAUUAUAAUCAAAUUUUCUUUUCCGUAAACAUCUUUUUUGUUUGUUUGUUUUUUGAGGCAGGGUUUAUCUGUAUAGCCCUGGCUGUUCUGGAACUCACUCUGUAGACCAGGCUGGCCUCAAACUCAGAAAUCUGACUGCCUCUUCCUCCCAAGUGCUGGGAUUAAAGGCGUGCGCCACCACAUCCUGCCUACAGUAAACAUCUUUCGUUAGGAGCCUGAACUAAAUUGUUGAGGGUGCUCACCCUCUUUUUAAAAGUUUCCCAACUGCUUUUGUAGCUAAGAUGAGCUAAUCACUCCUACUGUCCUGCCUAGCAAUACCCCAAGCUCAGUACCUGGCUUGGAAGGUCCUUCGUGAACAGGGCCAACCUCAGCAUAUAUGUGGUGACAACUGAGGAGCCCGAGCUCUUGUGGAGAGUAACCAGCCUGAGAGCAAGAGUUACUCUGGUCAGCUGUUUCUAGGACUGCUCUCCAGAGCACAUCAUACUCCUCACUGUCUACAGUGAAAAUAUCCAGAGAAAGAUAAAAUCAGAGGUACGUUGCUCCUUAUACAUUAUUGGAGAAUGAAAUAAUUACCCAGUGUUCCAUUUUUAAAAUCCUCAUUUAACAAAGGCUACAACUAAAAAUAUCAGGUCGCCGAGAGUAAAAGGUAUCUCCAAAAUGCAGAAACCUACUGAAGUUCUUCAGUAGCUUCCUUAGGGAACGGACAAUAGCUCAGUGAUUCAAGAACACAUACUGUUACUCUCCCAGAGAAGCCAGCCCUAUAUAUGGUAGCUCACAUCUGCCUGAAAUAGCCCUAGGGAAUACAACACCCUCUACAUGCACAUACACACAUCAUACAUGUACACACAUCAUACACGUACUCAUAAUUACAUUUAAAAUAAACCUUUAAAAUGGUCCUCCUUAGAGUUGGGAGAUGCCUCAGUCCUCAGUGGUGCAGAGCACUGGCUGCUCUUCCAGAGGACCUGGGUUUGAUUACCAGCACUUACAUGGGGGCUCAUACGUGACAGUAACUCAAGGUCCAGAGGAGCCAGCACCUUCCUCUGGCCUCCACAGACAUCAAAUAAAUACAUAUGGUAGGCAAAACAUUACAACACAUAAAUGAUGUAUUUGUUAACUAGCCCCCUUUGUCCCAUGAAUGACAUCUAGAAAACUCUCUGAAGACUCUGCUGCCAGAGGCUGCCAGAAAAGAUGAGGAAGACAAGAGAUUCCCUGGCUGUGAGGAAAGGACAGGGACAGAGUAAUCUCUGAGGCAGCUGACAGA
This is an RNA transcript of Mastomys coucha (southern multimammate mouse), 4407 nucleotides long. It is a transcript of the gene named ribokinase, with no coding region annotated. The record is from RefSeq and is a predicted model, not a curated record. The transcript is spliced from 9 exons. Lineage: Eukaryota; Metazoa; Chordata; Mammalia; Rodentia; Muridae.